UUAGCCCAACGAGAUCGGGAUAACACCUGGAAACAGAUGCUAAUACCGGAUAACAACAGAUGAUGCCUAUCAACUGUUUAAAAGAUGGUUCUGCUAUCACUCUUGGAUGGACCUGCGGUGCAUUAGCUAGUUGGUAGGGUAACGGCCUACCAAGGCGAUGAUGCAUAGCCGAGUUGAGAGACUGAUCGGCCACAUUGGGACUGAGACACGGCCCAAACUCCUACGGGAGGCAGCAGUA
This 238-nucleotide ribosomal RNA is filed under the name uncultured Lactobacillus sp. RNAcentral describes it as "partial 16S ribosomal RNA". It matches the Rfam family "Bacterial small subunit ribosomal RNA", at positions 125 to 355 of the family's 1533-position model. The record is from RNAcentral. Lineage: Bacteria; Bacillati; Bacillota; Bacilli; Lactobacillales; Lactobacillaceae.